ACUAACACAUGACACAGCAACCAUGGUGCCACCCUCCACCCAUCAGACUCGAAGAACCCUAGCAGAGCCUCUUCAGUCUUCACACCCUUAUAGCCUUACUCACCCCCUCACUAACGGCGACUAUGACAAAUCGGUGUUCACUCCCUCACAGCGGCAACUGAAGGUUGAACAACGCAAACUCACUCUCACUCAUGGCGGUCACUAGCUCGCUCAAGGCAGGCUGCAGCAACGUCGUCGUUGUCGCGUUGUCUCCACUUCUCUAGAAUCGUUGAGUCGAGUGUGCGUAACCCUCUGAAGGCAACAAUGUCAUCAUCUCCACCGUGCAUCGUGCAGUUCAGCAUCGUUAACUUCUCCUCCGGUCUUUGACAGUCGUCUUCUUCAGUCAGGUAAGGAUCCAGUUUUUUAGUUUUCACUUGUUUUUGCCUUAGUCUCUUGGUCAUCUUUCCUCUUCUCCUAUUUUAUUUUUCUCUGUUAAGUUUUAAUUUCUUUUGUAUUCUCUGUCUCUGUUCAAUUUUUAGUUCAAUUGGUUUGUUAUGAGAAAUUGAGGUUGUUCUUUUUACUCUAUUCAAUUUUUUGUUCGAUUGGUUUAUUUUUAAAAUUUUGAGUUCUAAGUUCUUGUUGAAAUGUAUGUUGGUGACGAAUUUUGAGUUCUUGGAAAAAAAUAUCAAAUUAUAUUGUUCUGUACAUAUUGUAAAAAUUCUGAGUGGCUGAUGUUUUAUUAUAUUUUUUUGUAAAUUGAAAAAUGACAAAAACUAAUUCUGUUGAACAUUCUUGGUUGAUGAAAUAAAAGAUUAUGGAGUGAAGGCUUUUAAAGACUUAAUGUGGUUGCACUUUUAAUAUGGUAAAUAUGUUGAGUUUGUUGUGUUUUUAGUUUUUAAUAUGUUUUGAGUUUGUUGUGUUUGGUGUUUAAUAUGUUUGAAUUUUUAUGUCUCUGUUGUUUAGAUUUUGUUAUUAUUAGAAUGUUAUUGACUUGUUAGAUUAUAUUACAUAUUUAAAGAAUUUUUUAAAAAAAUUUCUCACUUUUUUAAAUUUUUUUCUUAUGAAUUUUUAUUUCAUCAGGUAUCCGAACCAAUCCAGUUUUUAUCAGUUUGGUUUAGUUUGGGUACACACAUAAAAAAAAGUAAACCAAACCAAAUUGAACUAAUUAUUAGUUGGUUUGGUUUUCAUUUCACUCCAAAUCUGAACUAAACUGACCUGUGAACACCUUUGAUAAUAUGCUUUAAUUGACAUUAAUUUUAAUUUAUUUUCUUUUGUAACCAUUAAUUCACUGAUUCAUGUAACGACCUAGUUUUCUGCGAAACGAAACUUUUUCUGAAGAAACGAAGUAUUUUCAGAAGUUCAGUGAAGCAGGCACCUCCAACCACCUCUACUGCAUCAUCAAGCACCUCAUUCUACAUCAUCAUCAUGUCAUCACUAAGCAAGAACCUCUUUUGAGCAAGGUUCUGAGAACCGGACCGGUCAUUGAACCGGUCAAGUGACCGGUUCAAUGGUUCACUGGUCUGACCGGGGUCGAACCGUGGUUAAACCGAUUUAAUUAAAUAUACAGUGAAAUUAUAAAAAAAAAUUCAAUAUACAAAUCACAACAUUGAAUAUAGCAUUAAAAAAAUCCAGAACCACAGAAUCCAGAAUCCAUAAUCCAAAAUAUUCUAUAUAGCAUUCAAAAUAAAUAAAAAAACUCAAGCAGAUUUUGAGUGAACAUCAGAUUGCAAAAGAGUCUUUUAUACUUUAUGUAACAAACAAACCACACAAGCAACAAUCAGCAUCCAUUGAAAACAAGAUCAUUCAUUCAUAACAAAGUUCUGUUGUAUGGUUUGGACCAACAAUGGGCCUGAAGCCCUGAACACACACUUUAUCAAUUGACAUAGAAAAUUAUCUACCCUAGGACAAAGUAUAGCAAUGCUAUUGCACACUAAGCAAAUUGAAAAUUUCUGUAAAACUCAAAUCAAAAAUCCAAAUUUCUUGUACAGCAUUAUGUUGUUGUUGCUGAACAUUUUGUGACUGUUCCAUCUAAAUUGAACAUAGCAGAAUUGAAAACACAACGAAAUAGAAGCACAGAGCAGAUUAAAAUUCUCAAAUUCAACAUACAUCAAAUUAAUUCUCAAACUCAACAUACAACAAAUUUAUUUAACAUUUCAUUAAUCAUAUAAAAAUUGAUAUAUUGAAGAAGAACAGAAGCCAGGAAUAAAAACAGAGUAUAAACACAAGAAGUCAAGAACAGAAGCUCAGAACAAAAAAUGAACAGAAGAACAGAAGCCAGAAACAAAAUAAAAAAAUUACAGGAAUAUGAACAGAAGAUCAGAAGCCCAGAACAAAAAAUGAAAACAUCAAGAAGCCAAGAACAGAAGAAAGAGCCAGAAACCAGAACUUAUCGCAAGAUGAAGUAGAGAACAGAAGGCCAGAAGCUCGAGCCUCGAAAUAGAGAACAGAACCGUGAGCGACGACCCGCGUCGGUGGGCGACGAGCCGCGACGGUGAUGGACUACCCGCGACAGUGACCCUUGAUUCACGGUGUUAGUUCUCCUUCGUAUGCAGAAGCUCCAGCCUCGGCGGUGCUUCACGACCCGCGACCGAAACCCAGAAACCCAGAAGCCAGAAACCCAGAACCCGCAACGGUGCUUCACGACCAGUGACCAAAACCCAGAAACCCAGAACCCGCAACGGUGCUUCACGACCAGCGACCAAAACCCAGAAACCCAGAACCCGCAACGGUGCUUCACGACCAGCGACCAAAACCCAGAAACCCAGAACCCGCAACGGUGCUUCACGACCAGCGACCAAAACCCAGAAACCCAGAACCCGCAACGGUGCUUCACGACCCGCGACCAAAACCCAAAAACCCAGCAGCCGCAACGGUGCGCGACGACCCGCGACGGUGGGAGUGUUCUUCACGGCGUUCGUCGGUUGUCCGUCGUUUGCAGAUUGUCUAGCCUCGAGCUUAGGGUUGGGAGUGGAGUGUUGAGUGUUCUUGGGAGAUUUUGGGAGAUUAGGGAUUGAUUUAGGGUAAACUGAUGCUUCUACCUGCGUUGUUCAGCGCUUCAGCCUUUUUUUUUUUAUUAUAAAAUAGCACCGUUUCAAUAGCAGGAGGGAAAACCGGUAUUUGGAAAAUCGGGCCGGUUCGCCCGGUUCGCCGGUUAACCACCGGUUUUUUGCAACGCGGUUUUGCAUGUUGACCGGACUGGCUAAGUGACCGGUUUCCGGUUAACCCGGUUGAACCGGCCGGUCCGGUCCGGUUUUCAGAACAUUGCUUUUGAGAUAAGCUCGACGUUACAGUCGUGAAAAACCUAGUUUUUGAGCCGUUUUGAUUAGGAGCUUUAGACUCCGAUUUUUGUAGCUAAUCUCUAUUUGAUUAGCCAAACUCCAUUUAUGAGAGAAGAGAGAUAGUAAUAUAAUAUUAUUAUUAUAUUAAUAUUAGAGAUGCUUGAAUAAUAUUAUAACAUUAUUUGAUCUGUUUUAGUUAAAACAAGUUAAAACAAGAGAUCGGUUUAAUUGGGAUCACAGUCUUCUGGUGCAAGUUAACACCAGCACUCUCUAAUGACUUUAGCAAUACUAAUACCUCAUCAUAUACCUUUUAUUCUCAUGUUAAUCAUGUUACUAGUGUCAUUUAUACUAGUAGCUCAGAUAUUAAUUUUUAGAUGUGUUGUGAAGUGUGUGUUCUAAUAUAUCUAGUUUUAGAAAUAAUACAUCUGAGAUAUUUUAAUAUUAUUUUAACCACCUCACAAGCUAGUCAAAUCACGGAUCUCCCUUCACCCUCAAGACCUCCAAGGUUGCUGCAUUUCCUCAUUGUGGCCGAAAAUUUGCAAGAGAGAAAAGAGAGAAAAGUUCUUGGUUCUUGAUCUUCAAAGCUUGAUUUUUUCUGAACUAAAACUCAAAUCAAAACUCUAAUACGAUUAAAAUGAUCCUCUCUUCUUUCUCUUGACAAUCAUAUGACUAAUCAAGGUUGGAAACAAGGUGAGAUGGUUGUUCUCUUCCCCUUUGAAUUCAGUUUCAAGAACACAUGCAUAAACAUGUGUUUUUUUGAUGUUCUUCUAUAGGUAUCAUGCUUAGCUUGACUUGAGGGCCAAGGAACUUUAAAGUCCAACAAGAUUAAGGUGAGAAAUCUCAUCCUAACUGGUGGUUGAAGGUUUGGUCAGUUAGGGUUUUGAGGAUUUAAAGUUGUUCUUAAUGUGAUUUAAAAGGAAAAAGUGCUCUAGGAACACCUUGAAGCAUAGCCGAAAAUAGGGGCAGAAAAUAAAUGUAUGUUUGGUGAAAUUAAUCUUAAUUAAUUGUGUUUAAGUUGUAUGAUUAUGAUAUGGUUUAGUUGUGCUUGAAAUUGAUUGUUUAUAUGAGUGAUUCUUGGUGAAAUUUUGGUGAAAAUUUGAUGAAAUUUGAUAAAAUUCAAGCUAUGAAUUUGUGUUGAAAACAAGUGGAAAUCAAUGGAGCUUUGGUGGCUGUAAUUUUAAUUUGAAUUUUAGAAAAAAUCGGUUACUGAAAAGAUUGAAAAACGGGUAAGAAUCAAAGAAAGAAUCUGAAGAAUUUAUGAAAAAUACGAAGAACACUUUGAGUAUGAUGAAGAACAAUAAAAAAUACCUUUUUUAUCUUAGGAGAGGCCAAAUUAUAAAUAUUUUUGUGUUAAUGGGGUUAAAGUGCAAUUACUAAAAGUUUAGGGGGUUAAAGUAUAAAUAUCAAAAGUUAAGAGGGUCAAAAUAUAAUUUUUAUAAAAUUUUGGGGCCACUUUGUAAAUUUUUGAAAAAAUAUAAUAAAAUAUUAAUAAAUUUAAUUAAUAAAAAAUAUUAAAUACUAUUAUUUUAUUAAAAAUAAUAAAAUAAUAGCGAAAAAACAAUUUUUUGUAAAAGCCUUAUGAAGACAAUUUAAUUUUAGAAUUUCAUAAUUCCCUUCAUAAAACAUCUAUGGAGUGGUAAGAACAUGUUAGUGAGGAGAAGAUAAAAGAAAGAUAAAACGUUGAAGAAAAGAUAAAAAUCGAAGAAAGAGUCGGUAAAGUUUUAAAGGCAAAGAUAAAUGUCGAUUAAGGAAGCAAUCUAGGAGCAACAUAAUUAGUGCUUGAUUGUGGUUAGGGUUAGGUAUUACAUGAAUUGUUGAGAUUUAGAAAGGAUAAUAAAAAAUGUUUAAAGGCGAAAAAAUCCCACAAAUUGUUAGUUGUUUAACUACGGGAAAAUUUCACGAAUUGAUAGUGUUAAAUACGGGAAGUACCCACAAACUGAAUAAUCAUUGGUCUUAAAAAAAUCUAUGAAUUGUUAUUUGUUUUAUAUGCGGAAAAAAUUCACGAAUUGAUAAUCAUUGAUUACGGGAAUAACCCACGAACUGUUGUAUGUUGAUCUCGGAAAAAACCCACAAACUGAGGAUCACUGUUCUGUUGUGUGUUAAUCUCGAGGACGCCCACGAAUUGAGGAUCGUUGUUUUCCUUCUGUGUAUAUUAUGGCGUCGAGCUUUGCGCCGACUGUCGGUAGUCACGAAGGAGUAGUAUUCUUAAUCACCGACACGUAUACACAAAGGAUGCAAUGGGAAACCAUAUCUAGGACUAGUUUCUAGGUAAUGUCGGACUGCAGGGUGUAAACUGACACGUGAGCUCAUGACCUGCAUAGGACAGACAUGCAUCAUACUUGGUUGCGCAUUCACUCUGUUAUGAUUGUUGUAUGAAUGUAUGUUUUCUCUGUUUGUAUUCUAUUCUCUGUGUUUACUGUGUGCUAUUAUUAUGUAUUUCUCUAUUUGUAUUCUGUUUCUCAAUUUUUUCUGUUUAUCUAUUCUCUAGUUUUCUUCUAUUUACUGUAAAAUAUAUUACUAACUGAUAAGCACAAUGGAAGCGAUUAAUAUGACUAAUUAGCCUAACUCUAUUAAGAACUUCCCAGUUCUUACCUCCUUUCUCCCCCUUCAGAUGGAGGCAGGAAUACUCUUCUGUAAUCCACUGAUGAUCAUUUUGCAAAGAGAAUUCUACUUUAGGUAGCCUUCUAAGUCUAGGGCAAACUCUAUUCUGUGUUUAUAUAUAAAUACUAUGAGACCAGUCGACGUCUGCACCCCGUUUGAAUACGAACUUUUACCUAAAUCCUUUGUACGAGGUUCCUGUUUUGUGGCUACUUGAUGGAGUACCAGUGAGACGCCCUAUGACAACAUAUGAUCGUGUAGAGGAGUAGUAGAUGAUAUUCUACCUUUUGAUGAUGUUCCAUCUGACCUGAGUUUUGAAGAGGUAGAACAUACUUUCCCUCGCUUUGUAGUUUAGAGGGAUUUAGGUGAGUAUAGAGUCUAGGCUAGCUUGGGGACUUCUUGAAUAGGUCAGAGCCUAGGAUGUGGUAUGUUAUAUAUGUAUAAAGUUAUCAUCUAGCUAUAUCUAGGGGUGUUCUAACUAAGAUCUAUACUCUAACAAAGGCUAGAUAACUGAACGUUGUUAAUUACUUGAGAUGUUUAUUGAUGCGUAAGCAUCUUUCCUAUCUUUUUCUAGUGAAUUUGCAUUCAAAUUGUUGAGUUUAAUCAAGAUUUAAUUACCUUUAGCCACUAUGAAUGCUAUUUUGAGUUGUUUGCAAUUUAUGUUUAUUUCAGGUAGCAUUCGGAUGGAUUCGAUGGAGUUUUGUAGCAGAAAAGGAAGAAAGCGAAUGAUGCUGUCAACCCUGACCUCCUUACACUCAAAUAGAAAUAACUUGAGCUACCGAGGUCUAAUUGACGUGAUUUCAGUGGCAUUGAAAAGCUAACUUCUAGAGCUUUUCAACAAUAUAUAAUAGUAUAACAUUUUCUUCCAUUUCGUACGGAUCACUUCACGCUAAACUUGAGGAAGCUCAAGUUUGGCGCCAACCAAGAAGCCUCAAGGAAGAAUACACGCUGCCAUCUCCACGCGGAACUUGAGUUUACUCAAGUUCGGCGCCAGCCUGAAAAGUCCAAAGGAAGCAUUGCGCACAAUUUCCACGCCAAACUUGGUUUCCCCCAAGUUUGGCGCCACACCUUUAGGCAAUGGUGGUCCCCAAUUCGUCUACACAAGGCUGC
Molecule: long non-coding RNA, 6965 nt
Filed under: Arachis ipaensis
Lineage: Eukaryota; Viridiplantae; Streptophyta; Magnoliopsida; Fabales; Fabaceae
Description: long non-coding RNA (AIPA_LNC001269)
Source: RNAcentral